RNAcentral lists this ribosomal RNA (447 nucleotides) under uncultured bacterium. Its description in RNAcentral is "bacterial SSU rRNA". It matches the Rfam family "Bacterial small subunit ribosomal RNA", at positions 330 to 793 of the family's 1533-position model. The record is from RNAcentral.
UCCAGACUCCUACGGGAGGCAGCAGUGGGGAAUAUUGCACAAUGGGGGAAACCCUGAUGCAGCAACGCCGCGUGAGUGAAGAAGUAUUUCGGUAUGUAAAGCUCUAUCAGCAGGGAAGAAGAAAGACGGUACCUGACUAAGAAGCCCCGGCUAACUACGUGCCAGCAGCCGCGGUAAUACGUAGGGGGCAAGCGUUAUCCGGAUUUACUGGGUGUAAAGGGAGCGUAGACGGCAGGGCAAGUCUGGAGUGAAAGCCCGGGGCCCAACCCCGGGACUGCUUUGGAAACUGCCAUGCUAGAGUGCUGGAGGGGUAAGCGGAAUUCCUAGUGUAGCGGUGAAAUGCGUAGAUAUUAGGAGGAACACCAGUGGCGAAGGCGGCCUGCUGGACUGUAACUGACGUUGAGGCUCGAAAGCGUGGGGAGCAAACAGGAUUAGAUACCCCGGUAA